GAUGAUGUCGGUUUACUCCGGUUAACCGGUUAUGUUCUCAUCAUAUUAAGUAAGUGGGUGUACAAGAUUAAACUACUACACUAACGUAUGGGAGUUUGAAUGGUAAAAACUAGAAAGCUUGUUUUGUUUUUUUGUUUUUUUGUUUUUUGUCUUCGAAAGCUUGUUUUGUUAUGAAGGGCUUAUUUGGAUUAAAUCCUAUAUUCGAAAAAUUUUAAUCGAUCUGAACCUUUAAUUUUG
This 237-nucleotide long non-coding RNA is filed under the name Capsella rubella. RNAcentral describes it as "long non-coding RNA (CRUB_LNC002389)". Lineage: Eukaryota; Viridiplantae; Streptophyta; Magnoliopsida; Brassicales; Brassicaceae. The record is from RNAcentral.